GACGAACGCUGGCGGCGUGCUUAACACAUGCAAGUCGAACGGAAAGGCCCUGCUUUUGUGGGGUGCUCGAGUGGCGAACGGGUGAGUAACACGUGAGUAACCUGCCCUUGACUUUGGGAUAACUUCAGGAAACUGGGGCUAAUACCGGAUAGGAGCUCCUGCUGCAUGGUGGGGGUUGGAAAGUUUCGGCGGUUGGGGAUGGACUCGCGGCUUAUCAGCUUGUUGGUGGGGUAGUGGCUUACCAAGGCUUUGACGGGUAGCCGGCCUGAGAGGGUGACCGGCCACAUUGGGACUGAGAUACGGCCCAGACUCCUACGGGAGGCAGUAGUGGGGAACAUGACACAAUGGGCGGAAGCGUGAUGCAGCAACGCCGCGUGCGGGAUGACGGCCUUCGGGUUGUAAACCGCUUUCGCCUGUGACGAAGCGUGAGUGACGGUAAUGGGUAAAGAAGCACCGGCUAACUACGUG
RNAcentral lists this ribosomal RNA (468 nucleotides) under uncultured bacterium. RNAcentral's name for it is "partial 16S ribosomal RNA". It matches the Rfam family "Bacterial small subunit ribosomal RNA", at positions 28 to 507 of the family's 1533-position model. The record is from RNAcentral.